RNAcentral lists this ribosomal RNA (518 nucleotides) under uncultured bacterium. RNAcentral's name for it is "partial 16S ribosomal RNA". It matches the Rfam family "Bacterial small subunit ribosomal RNA", at positions 355 to 891 of the family's 1533-position model. The record is from RNAcentral.
UGGGGAAUAUUGGACAAUGGGGGCAACCCUGAUCCAGCCAUGCCGCGUGAGUGAUGAAGGCCUUCGGGUUGUAAAGCUCUUUUGGCGGGGACGAUGAUGACGGUACCCGCAGAAUAAGCCCCGGCUAACUUCGUGCCAGCAGCCGCGGUAAGACGAAGGGGGCUAGCGUUGUUCGGAAUUACUGGGCGUAAAGCGAGUGUAGGCGGUUGCCGUAGUCAGGUGUGAAAGCCUUGAGCUCAACUCAAGAAAUGCACUUGAUACUGGGUGACUAGAGGACCGGAGAGGAUAGUGGAAUUCCCAGUGUAGUGGUGAAAUACGUAGAGAUUGGGAAGAACACCAGUGGCGAAGGCGGCUAUCUGGACGGUUACUGACGCUAAGACUCGAAAGCGUGGGGAGCAAACAGGAUUAGAUACCCUGGUAGUCCACGCCGUAAACGAUGGGUGCUAGACGUUGGCGAGCCUGCUCGUCAGUGUCGCAGCUAACGCGUUAAGCACCCCGCCUGGGGAGUACGGCCGCAA